UACGUAGGGUGCAAGCGUUGUCCGGAAUUAUUGGGCGUAAAGAGCUCGUAGGCGGUCUGUCGCGUCUGCUGUGAAAACUCGGGGCUUAACCCCGGGCCUGCAGUGGGUACGGGCAGACUAGAGUGCGGUAGGGGAGACUGGAAUUCCUGGUGUAGCGGUGAAGUGCGCAGAUAUCAGGAGGAACACCGGUGCGAAGGCGGGUCUCUGGGCCGUAACUGACGCUGAGGAGCGAAAGCGUGGGGAGCGAACAGG
RNAcentral lists this ribosomal RNA (252 nucleotides) under uncultured bacterium. RNAcentral's name for it is "partial 16S ribosomal RNA". It matches the Rfam family "Bacterial small subunit ribosomal RNA", at positions 524 to 776 of the family's 1533-position model. The record is from RNAcentral.